This is a long non-coding RNA of Hemiscyllium ocellatum (epaulette shark), 3440 nucleotides long. RefSeq lists it as uncharacterized. The transcript is spliced from 3 exons. NCBI's taxonomy places the organism in Eukaryota, Metazoa, Chordata, Chondrichthyes, Orectolobiformes, Hemiscylliidae. The record is from RefSeq and is a predicted model, not a curated record.
CCUCUCUCUAAUUGCCUUUAAGGUGACAAGGAGCUAGCUCCUCGAACACUGCAUUUCAGGGGAAAAGAAUUCUGAACAAAACAAUUGUUGAAAAUCGAAUGAAAAAUAUGCGGGGCCUAGCAAUGAAAGAAAUCACCAACCCUAAGAGUAGCAGUGCAAGUUACUGCACUUCUUAUUCCUCAGUGCAUAAUAUCCGGGUCCAUCAUCCAACAUCUGCUAAUAUUGCUGAAUUUCAGCCCAAGAGACCCACUCACAACAUCAUUACGGGUGAGGAAGGCCCCAGUGUUCAGCACACAAACUACAAGAGAAAGUCAGGAGCCUGGCUUCAACAGUGUUCAAGGCAACGUGAAUGCUUUUAUGAUCGUUCCUUUCUGUACUGAAAUUUGAACGGAUUCAUUAUUAUUUAUACUAAGGGUAGAGUCUGGCUCCAACUCACAUUAUGGGUCCUUUUAAAUUUCACAACCUGUCAGAUUUUAUAACCUUGAAUCAAGCUCAAAUUGGAAAUGUUUUUAAUUUGUAAUUGAAAGAUAGUUAAGUGAGCUGAAUGAUUUUCCUGUGUAUAUGUAUAACAUUGUUAACCCAUCUAUCUGCUACCACUGAGUGAGAUGUAAUGUAUUAUACUGAAACCUUUAAAUUGACUGUAAACAACACCAAUGCAAUAUAGCAGUGAGGGACAUUAGUGCACUUUGUAAAUUGGUACAUGUGACAUUGGAUUGGUUCAGUGUAAAUGAUCAAUUUUCAUAAUUUUGGAAUAAGUAAGUUUGAAGGCAAUGAGAAAAUAGGCCUUAGAUACAGAAAGGUCAUUACAUGCCAAGUCCUCUAAUACUGCACUAAUUUUUAGAUUGUUUAAUCUUACUGUUCAGAUGUGUUAUGACACAGUCUGGAGCAGGUUUGGCUUGAACCUGGCAUUCUAGCCCAGUGGUAAGGACAGUGCCAGUGUGCCACCAGACCCUCUAUAUCUGAGAAUUACAUUGUGUACACAGUGUAAAAACAGGUCAUUUGGUUUCACUUGUAUUUGUACAUAUCCUUCCCAAUGUUGUUUCUCUAACCUGAUUAGCAAAUCUUAAUUUUUACUUCUUCAUUUAUUUCUCUAGUUUUCCCCUUAAAUGCAUUUGUGCUAUUCACCACCACUUCUCCAUGUGGCUAUGGGGUAAUGAUGUAAGGUGGACAGGCUAAAAUCUGAGCUGUUCACUUUGACUGUUAGUUGGGAGUCUCACAAUUUGAUAAUGUCUCUGCUGAGCACCAACCUCUCUUCCCUUUUCAAACGAUUUGUGGAAUGUGACUACAUUCAUGUACCUGCUUCACCUACUCCACCCACUUUCUCCUGUGCUGAUUCUUACCUUAAUCCACUGGUAAGCUGGAACCAUCCCACCAGGUGCUUGUUGAACACCAUUACACUCUGUGAAAAGCAUGUCAGCUGGAUGUUCACAAAUUGUCUCAAACAGGAGAAGCUUAACCCCUCCAAAAAGAGUAACUUGUUAAUGUGCUGAAUGCUGUUUCGCAGUGUUUCCCUUUAUUCCUUCACCAGGUAUGAAUGUCAUCAGCAAAGCCCACAUCUAACUGCCUUUGAACCAACCUUUGAACUGAGCCAUUUCAGAGGUCAGUUAAAAGUUGCUAUGGAUCUGGAGUCAUACAUAGGCCAGACCAGAGGUAAGGUUGGCAGAUUACAUUCCCUCAAGGACAUCAGUGAACCAGAUGGGAUUUUACAACAAAUGAUAAUGGUUGCAAGGUCACCAUUCCUGAGACUACUUUUAAAUCCAGAUCAGGUAAAUUGACUUGAGUAUAGACAAAGGUGGUUGUCUUGCAAAAGAUGCUUUAGUUACUUGAUUAACUUAUGCAAACCUAUCAUUCAACUUAGCCAUUUUGACUUUAUACAUGUAGUGGUCAAACAAGGAGGCAAUGAUAUGAUUCCAAUAACCUGGUCAUAAAAGAGCAGUCCGAGAAGUCUCCAUUUACAGUUUUUAAGAUUAUGGAAGCUUCAAGACUAUUGAGGAAAACACAGGCUGAGUGAUUGGUUCUGGAUGGUCCACUGACAAUGCAUCAAUCCACACCACGCCCUCCGCCUCUUCCCCAAGUUAUAUGCUGCAUCUUUUAACCUGAUCAAAUGCCCCAGGAGUGAUUCGGUAACGUUUCGACAGAGCAGCGUUAGGAUAGGUGGCUAAAAGCUUAGUCAGAGAUUUACGGGAGUGGCAUGAAGCAGGAGGUGAGAGGAUUUUGAGAGGGAAUUGCAGAGUUGAAGGGGGAGGUAGCUGAAGAUAUGAGACAGCCAGUGUUGGAGCGCUGAAAUCAAGGCCUUACCAGGAGCCAAAAUAUACGGAAUACAGUGACCUCAGAGACUUGUUGAGCUGGAGGAGGUUACAAUCACUGGGCAGGACCAGAUCAUGGAGGGAUUUGAAAGAGGAAUGACAAUUUUAAAAUGGAGGCCUUGUAGAACAGGAGCCAGUGUAUUGUGAGAGAGCACAGUGGUGAUGAUUGAGAUUUAGUGCAAGACUCUGUCAGCACAAUUUGGGUCGCCUUUAUGUUUAUGGAGCUUGCAAAAUUGGUCAUGAACUUGGAACUAACAGAACAGAGAGUUUCGGCAGAAGGUGAGCUGAGGGAGAGUGGAGAGUAGAGGUGGACAAUGUAACCAGGUUGGAAGUAACUAGUCCUUGUGAUGAGGAUAUAGGAUCACCUUCUCUGUUCAGGGAUGGUUCUGUCAGUAACCAGUAUCACAAUCAUGGAGGCAGCGAAUGAUUCCCUCCGCUUUCUCUCUCCUUUUUUGACUGCAACAGGUUUGUUUUUAGUAAGGAUAUGCUUGACCAGGUUAGUGAAUGUUUAACUGUUUAUGUGCUGUGAUAAUAAAUGGACAAUGGGACAUGUUUUUGUGAGGUUAAGAAAGAAAAUGAGUGGCUUUAUUAUACUUAAAUGUGAACAAAAAUACUAAGAGUCAUUCUGAUUUUCACGAAUGAAUAUAUGUGACAGCAUGGGGAAGGAAUAUCCAGAAAAAGAGAACAUAGAACAGCAGCAGGACGUUCCAUAUUCAGUAGAAUCAUAGCUAAUCCAGCUGUGGUCUCAAAUCCAUUUUUCCAUCUGCCACAACACUCCACAAUCCACUCUCUAAUACUGUAUCGAAUAAAUUCAAUGACUCCACUUUCACUGAAUUCCACCGAGUAACUGUAGAGGGUUGGGCUUAACAUCAGAAGAAUAAGUGAAGUGUACUGAUGGAAGGAUGAUGUCAGUGCCACAUAAUUGAGUAUAUUGGGCUGUGAGAGUGGCAAGGCUCUAUCUGAGUGUGAGAAGAGGGAGUGAAUGACGUUGUAAAUAAAGAAUUCUUGCACAAAAUUCCAUGGGCUCCAGCAGCCUGACUUUGGGAGACUAAAUAGGGUUAGACUCUAAACACGCACCAAAAUACUAAAUCCUCAGAGAAAAAUUCUCAUUGGUGAGCGCUGCUGCCUCACAGU